This is a non-coding RNA of Russula brevipes, 86 nucleotides long. The record is from the annotation of a GenBank genome assembly. NCBI's taxonomy places the organism in Eukaryota, Fungi, Basidiomycota, Agaricomycetes, Russulales, Russulaceae.
GGUCUUGUAGUGUAGUGGUUAUCACUCGGGAUUUUGACUUAUGAAACCGAUUUCCCGGAACCCAGGUUCGAACCCUGGCAAGACCU